GACGAACGCUGGCGGCGUGCUUAACACAUGCAAGUCGAGCGGUAAGGCCCUUUCGGGGGUACACGAGCGGCGAACGGGUGAGUAACACGUGGGUGACCUGCCCUUAGCUCUGGGAUAAGCCUGGGAAACUGGGUCUAAUACCGGAUAUGACUCCAUGACGCAUGUUGUGGGGUGGAAAGCCUUGUGCGGCUAGGGAUGGGCCCGCGGCCUAUCAGCUUGUUGGUGGGGUGAUGGCCACCAAGGCGACGACGGGUAGCCGGCCUGAGAGGGCGACCGGCCACACUGGGACUGAGACACGGCCCAGACUCCUACGGGAGGCAGCAGUGGGGAAUCUUGCGCAAUGGGCGAAAGCCUGACGCAGCGACGCCGCGUGGGGAGU
This 379-nucleotide ribosomal RNA is filed under the name uncultured bacterium. Its description in RNAcentral is "bacterial SSU rRNA". It matches the Rfam family "Bacterial small subunit ribosomal RNA", at positions 28 to 409 of the family's 1533-position model. The record is from RNAcentral.